UUUUCACAGCAGGUUUGUUACUUCAGCUUUAACACAUUUGACAGGAAGGAUUUCUUUAUUUUGAUGAUGUUGGUUUAUUUGUGAGGAAACCUGCUGCUUUACACCAUCACUUCUGGUCUGAGCAGGACUGAGACCUGCUGGUCUGUAAACUGGAUGUUCUUCAGUCCAGCUGAUGAAGUGAGUCUCAGAGUGGAAACACUGAUCGUCUUUUUUUCUCUCCUCAGGUGGAGUUAACAUCUGUCAGAGUGAUUAAGAAGAGGAUCAUGUGUUUCCUGAUGAUCAGAGAGGUGGAGGCAGCAGCAGUGAGGGUGAGGUGAGUCUCUGACUGGGCCGUGUUACUGAGAGACUGACUGACCAAUCACAGCGGGCGGAGAGGACUCUGGGAGCUGCACUUUGACCUGCUCUGAGAUCAGCUCAGGACCUGGACUCUGGAUAUUUGAUAUUUUCCCUCAUAUUCUGGGAUCAAACAGU
This is a non-coding RNA of Xyrichtys novacula (pearly razorfish), 471 nucleotides long. The record is from the annotation of a GenBank genome assembly. Lineage: Eukaryota; Metazoa; Chordata; Actinopteri; Labriformes; Labridae.